RNAcentral lists this ribosomal RNA (451 nucleotides) under uncultured bacterium. RNAcentral's name for it is "partial 16S ribosomal RNA". It matches the Rfam family "Bacterial small subunit ribosomal RNA", at positions 329 to 794 of the family's 1533-position model. The record is from RNAcentral.
CUCCAGACUCCUACGGGAGGCAGCAGUGGGGAAUAUUGGACAAUGGGGGGAACCCCGAUCCAGCGACGCCGCGUGAGUGAAGAAGUAUUUCGGUAUGUAAAGCUCUAUCAGCAGGGAAGAAAGAAAUGACGGUACCUGACUAAGAAGCCCCGGCUAACUACGUGCCAGCAGCCGCGGUAAUACGUAGGGGGCAAGCGUUAUCCGGAUUUACUGGGUGUAAAGGGAGCGUAGACGGCCAUGCAAGCCUGAUGUGAAAGGUGUGGGCACAACCCGCACACUGCAUUGGGAACUGUAUGGCUAGAGUGUCGGAGGGGCAGGCGGAAUUCCUGGUGUAGCGGUGAAAUGCGUAGAUAUCAGGAGGAACACCGGUGGCGAAGGCGGCCUGCUGGACGACGACUGACGUUGAGGCUCGAGAGCGUGGGGAGCGAACAGGAUUAGAUACCCCCGUAGC